AGAGUUUGAUUAUGGCUCAGGAUGAACGCUGGCGGCGUGCCUAACACAUGCAAGUCGAGCGAUUCUCUUCGGAGAAGAGCGGCGGACGGGUGAGUAACGCGUGGGUAACCUGCCUCAUACACAUGGAUAACAUACCGAAAGGUAUGCUAAUACAGGAUAAUAUAAGAGAUUCACAUGGAUUUCUUAUCAAAGCUCCGGCGGUAUGAGAUGGACCCGCGUCUGAUUAGCUAGUUGGCAAGGUAACGGCUUACCAAGGCGACGAUCAGUAGCCGACCUGAGAGGGUGAUCGGCCACAUUGGAACUGAGACACGGUCCAAACUCCUACGGGAGGCAGCAGUGGGGAAUAUUGCACAAUGGGCGAAAGCCUGAUGCAGCAACGCCGCGUGAGUGAUGAAGGCCUUCGGGUCGUAAAACUCUGUCCUCAAGGAAGAUAAUGACGGUACUUGAGGAGGAAGCCCCGGCUAACUACGUGCCAGCCGCCGC
Molecule: ribosomal RNA, 483 nt
Filed under: uncultured bacterium
Lineage: Bacteria
Description: bacterial SSU rRNA
Rfam family: Bacterial small subunit ribosomal RNA
Source: RNAcentral